UAUGUGAUCGUCUCUCGCAUAUCAAUAAGCGGAGGAAAAGAAACUAACAAGGAUUCCCCUAGUAACUGCGAGUGAAGCGGGAAAAGCUCAAAUUUAAAAUCUGGCAGUCUUUGAUUGUCCGAGUUGUAAUCUAGAGAAGCAUUAUCCGCGCUGGACCGUGUACAAGUCUCCUGGAAUGGAGCGUCAUAGAGGGUGAGAAUCCCGUCUUUGACACGGACUGCCAGGGCUUUGUGAUGUGCUCUCAAAGAGUCGAGUUGUUUGGGAAUGCAGCUCAAAAUGGGUGGUAAAUUCCAUCUAAAGCUAAAUAUUGGCGAGAGACCGAUAGCGAGCAAGUACCGUGAGGGAAAGAUGAAAAGAACUUUGAAAAGAGAGUUAAACAGUACGUGAAAUUGUCAAAAGGGAAGCGUUUGACACCAGUGUUGUUUUUCUGAAAAUCAAUUAAAGAACUGUUUAUGCUAAGUUGUUUAGACUUUAUCAGCUAUCUGCUUAGUUUUGAGCUUUUCUUUAAUGCACUUUUCAGUUAACAAGUCAACAUCAAUUUCUUUUGCUGUAAAAAAGCUUGAGGAAGGUGGCUUGAGAUUCGUCUUAAGUGUUUAUAGCCUCUUGCCUAUGCAGUCGGAGAGAUUGAGGUCUGCAGCGUAGAUCCUUCGGGGCUAAAUGCAUUUGUGCUAAGUUAUAGCAUUUUAUAGACAACUUGUUGACUAUGAUUUGUCUUGUAGCUUACUCGCUUAUGUUAUUUUACCUACGCUUAGGAUGUUGAAGAUAUGCGCGACACG
This 776-nucleotide ribosomal RNA is filed under the name uncultured Neocallimastigales. RNAcentral's name for it is "partial large subunit ribosomal RNA". It matches the Rfam family "Eukaryotic large subunit ribosomal RNA", at positions 24 to 644 of the family's 3401-position model. Lineage: Eukaryota; Fungi; Neocallimastigomycota; Neocallimastigomycetes; Neocallimastigales. The record is from RNAcentral.